GCCAGGCGUGGUGGUGGGCGCCUGUAAUCCCAGCUACUCAGGAGGCUGAGGCAGGAGAAUCGCUUGAACCUGGGAGGCGGAGGUUGCAGUGAGCCGAAAUCGCACCACUGCACUCCAGCCUGGGUUACAGAGCGAGAGUCUGUCUCAA
Molecule: unclassified non-coding RNA, 148 nt
Organism: Macaca fascicularis (crab-eating macaque)
Lineage: Eukaryota; Metazoa; Chordata; Mammalia; Primates; Cercopithecidae
Rfam family: Metazoan signal recognition particle RNA
About the family: The signal recognition particle (SRP) is a universally conserved ribonucleoprotein. It is involved in the co-translational targeting of proteins to membranes.
Source: Ensembl